CUACGGGCGGCAGCAGUGGGGAAUAUUGCACAAUGGGCGCAAGCCUGAUGCAGCCAUGCCGCGUGUAUGAAGAAGGCCUUCGGGUUGUAAAGUACUUUCAGCGGGGAGGAAGGGAGUAAAGUUAAUACCUUUGCUCAUUGACGUUACCCGCAGAAGAAGCACCGGCUAACUCCGUGCCAGCAGCCGCGGUAAUACGGAGGGUGCAAGCGUUAAUCGGAAUUACUGGGCGUAAAGCGCACGCAGGCGGUUUGUUAAGUCAGAUGUGAAAUCCCCGGGCUCAACCUGGGAACUGCAUCUGAUACUGGCAAGCUUGAGUCUCGUAGAGGGGGGUAGAAUUCCAGGUGUAGCGGUGAGAUGCGUAGAGAUCUGGAGGAAUACCGGUGGCGAAGGCGGCCCCCUGGACGAAGACUGACGCUCAGGUGCGAAAGCGUGGGAAGCAAACAGGAUUAGAUACCCGGGUAGUC
RNAcentral lists this ribosomal RNA (464 nucleotides) under uncultured bacterium. RNAcentral describes it as "partial 16S ribosomal RNA". It matches the Rfam family "Bacterial small subunit ribosomal RNA", at positions 339 to 795 of the family's 1533-position model. The record is from RNAcentral.